RNAcentral lists this ribosomal RNA (245 nucleotides) under uncultured bacterium. RNAcentral's name for it is "partial 16S ribosomal RNA". It matches the Rfam family "Bacterial small subunit ribosomal RNA", at positions 524 to 768 of the family's 1533-position model. The record is from RNAcentral.
UACGGAGGGUGCGAGCGUUGUUCGGAAUUAUUGGGCGUAAAGAGCGUGUAGGCGGUCUCAUAAGUCAGAUGUGAAAUACCUUGGCUCAACCGAGGAAGGGCAUCUGAAACUAUUAGACUUGAGUACUGGAGAGGAGAGUAGAAUUCCCAGUGUAGAGGUGAAAUUCGUAGAUAUUGGGAGGAACACCGGUGGCGAAGGCGGCUCUCUGGACUGAAACUGACGCUGAGACGCGAAAGCGUGGGGAG